Long non-coding RNA from Mobula hypostoma (lesser devil ray), 849 nucleotides. RefSeq lists it as uncharacterized. Lineage: Eukaryota; Metazoa; Chordata; Chondrichthyes; Myliobatiformes; Myliobatidae. The record is from RefSeq and is a predicted model, not a curated record. The transcript has 3 exons.
ACGGGCAUAUCUCUGUCAGUAAAUGCAGAGAAGGCUUCAUCCAAAUGCAAAGCAGUGGAGACGACUUAGCGUUAGCGGCAACCUAUGUCAGAGCUCACCCAGUUGAAAGAGAGAGAUAGCGAAGGAAUCUUGGCUCGGCUCGUAGAGUACACGGAUGGCUGGAGCACGAAGUGCAAGACGCCCUGGGUCAGAGAGUUGCGGCUUCGGAUUGGGGAUCUGUCGAAGCCUUCGGGCUGGAUUCCGGGGCUCAGGGGGAGACAGUUCACGGUCGUGGGGUGGUAUAUCGAGACGGAGAGUUGGAAGAGUGGUGAACUGUUCCCCUGCUGCUUCUGGAUCGUGUGCUCUGAUCAACAGACGACUUUCUCUAAGUGAGGUACUGUACCUACAGGAAACAAAGAAAAUGAUCCAGGAAGAGCCAAACAUAACAAAGACUGACAAGCAUCCAGUAUGAAAAAGAGGACAAAUGAUGCAAAUAAAAAAGUAAAGUAAUAAUACCGAGAGCGUGGGCUGCAGAGUCCCCGAAAGUGAGUCCAAAUGCUGAGUCAGUUCAGCGCCGAGGCGAGCUCAGCCGCCCCAGAAAGCCGAUCUGCUCCCGACCGUAGCGGCGAGAAUCCAAGACCCCUGCCCAAUGGUUAUAGCGGGAAGAGAGGGAAACAGGUCAAACGCAGUCAGAUGGGACGGCCUUUUCCACUCUCGGGUUUCGACGCUUUGAUUUGGCUUGAUAUCUGCCCUAGCCGUCUCUUCAACCUCUCUUUCGGCAAUGAUAGCUCCACUGCCCCCGCGGUGCGUUUGCAUUCAAAGCUAGACAGGGAGUUAAAUACCUUAUGAAAUAUCACCCGAGCCGGAAGC